This 932-nucleotide ribosomal RNA is filed under the name uncultured archaeon. Its description in RNAcentral is "bacterial SSU rRNA". It matches the Rfam family "Archaeal small subunit ribosomal RNA", at positions 1 to 909 of the family's 1478-position model. The record is from RNAcentral.
UUCCGGUUGAUCCUGCCGGACCCUACUGCUAUCGGGGUGGGACUAAGACAUGCGAGUUGAGCGUCUCUAAGCUAUGGUAGAGACGCGGCGUACGGCUCAGUAACACGUGGCUAACCUACCCUUAGGACGGGGACAACCCCGGGAAACUGAGGCUAAUACCCGAUAGGCGAGGAGGCCUGGAAUGGUUCUUAGUCGAAAAGGCGUUGAAACCAUGCUUUUCGACGUCGCCUAAGGAUGGGGCCGCGCCCGAUCAGGUUGUUGGUGGGGUAACGGCUCACCAAGCCUAUAACCGGUACGGGCCGUGAGAGCGGGAGCCCGGAGAUGGGCACUGAGACAAGGGCCCAGGCCCUACGGGGCGCAGCAGUCGCGAAAACUCCGCAAUGCGCGAAAGCGUGACGGGGCUACCCCGAGUGCCGUCCGCUGAGGAUGGCUUUUCUCCGGUGUAAUGAGCCGGGGGAAUAAGGAGAGGGCAAGUCUGGUGUCAGCCGCCGCGGUAAUACCAGCUCUCCGAGUGGUAGGGAUGAUUAUUGGGCUUAAAGCGUCCGUAGCCGGCUUAGCAAGUCUCCUGUUAAAUUCAGCGACCUAAUCGUUGAGCCGCGGGAGAUACUACUAGGCUAGGAGGCGGGAGAGGCCGACGGUAUUCUCGGGGUAGGGGUGAAAUCCUAUAAUCCCGGGAGGACCACCAGUGGCGAAGGCUGUCGGCUAGAACGCGCUCGACGGUGAGGGACGAAAGCUGGGGGAGCGAACCGGAUUAGAUACCCGGGUAGUCCCAGCUGUAAACGAUGCGGGCUAGGUGUUGGGGUGGCUACGAGCCACUUCAGUGCCGCAGGGAAGCCAUUAAGCCCGCCGCCUGGGGAGUACGGCCGCAAGGCUGAAACUUAAAGGAAUUGGCGGGGGAGCACCACAAGGCGUGAAGCUUGCGGUUCAAUUGG